Molecule: long non-coding RNA, 245 nt
Organism: Colias croceus (clouded yellow)
Lineage: Eukaryota; Metazoa; Arthropoda; Insecta; Lepidoptera; Pieridae
Exons: 3
Source: RefSeq, a predicted model, not a curated record
UUUACAUUAUACAACAUGAAUGCCAAAAGCAUAUUUCUAACUUGCCUUAUUUUGUCAUGCCUCAUUGCACUAGCAUAUUCAUCAGCUAAUCCGGGAGGUAACAUUGUUACCGAAAGUAACAGCAACAAAGCACAGGACUAUAAUCCUCAAAAGACUGGCGUAAGCCAGGGACAAAGUCACCAGCACUCAUUGUUCUAAAAAAAAAAUUGUUUAAAUUAUGAUUGUAUUUUAUAUAUUUUGCAUUU